RNAcentral lists this long non-coding RNA (675 nucleotides) under Phoenix dactylifera (date palm). RNAcentral describes it as "long non-coding RNA (PDAC_LNC018014)". The record is from RNAcentral. Lineage: Eukaryota; Viridiplantae; Streptophyta; Magnoliopsida; Arecales; Arecaceae.
UCCACCUCCACUCCUGAUCGGCUGAUAGACCGUCUCCUAAGCCAAAAGAUGAACUCCACUCCUGCCCCUCUAAGAAGCUCUGGAACUGCCUCUCCAUACCCCGCAAUGCAGCCAACAACCCCAUGGUAUGGGACUACAAAUAAACAUGGAUCGACCUCAGGGCUAACCGUACUAAGAUGACUCUCCCCAUCAUGGAGAGAGCGUUGGUCUGCCAUCCCUCUAGUCUAUGCCUGAUGCCUUGCUCCAUCUGAAUGCACUCCGCCCUACGCAGGCGUCUGCCCGUGAUCGAGACCCCCAAAUAGCUCAGAGUGCCAUCCUGCUCCCCAAUCCCUAGAAUGCCCAUGAUCUCCAUCUUCACCCCAGGGUUAGCUUUCAAGCUAUGCCAUCCUUCGGUGUUGUUGGUUUGAUAGGUUUUUUUUCUGGUCCAUCUGCUGCUCAUACUGCUUUCAUACGAGUACAACCAGCUACAUCGCUAACAAAAAGGCUACGCAAAGUAAAAAAAAUAGAAGACUGCUGGGUCCACUAAAAUUUUCCCAAAUGAUGAGCCACAAAUGAAGUGCCCAGUCAGACUUAUAGGUCUUUUAACUCUCGUUUCAUUUGUCUUUAACUUUGCACCACACUUUUUUGGGCCACGACAAUUGAUGCUGCUAUGGGGACUAUCGCACGACCACAAUU